AGCAUCUCUGUGAAGCGUGUGCAGGGGACAGCAGACAUCAGAGCUCUCCUGUAAAUCACCUCCGCAAAGGCUCUUUGUGGUCGAUUCACUGAUGACUCAUUUAUAAUCUGGUUUCAACAUUGUGAGUCAAAAUGCACCACUUUCAUUAAAAAUAACAUUCACUGGGGUCUAACGGCUUUCUUUUUUCUGUUUUUUACUGUACUGUGUGGUUUCUGGAUGGGAAGCUGUCAGAUGGCAGGCGAGGUGUUCCGAGGGACUUGAGCAUAAUCGUGCAACGACUCAGGUGUGGAUUGAACAAAUAGUCCCGAAUACCUGCUGUGGGUCCUGCAGACUUCUGGGCCAUGGAAGUGUGUGGGUAGUCGGCGUGGGUGUGUGUGGGGGUGUGUGCAAGUAUCAGGAUCACCUGGGAUGCUUGUUAAAAAUACAGAUUCCUGGGCUUCACCCCAUAUCUCUGAGGGUGGGGCCUUGUCAAAUUCCUCAGGAGCUUUUUAGGUACAAUAGAGUCAAGAGCCUUGACUCUGGGUGAGAGAGAAUGGGAACUCCCUUCAAGCAGACCCUCCCUACAAACGGAGCAACCAGAGGAGAGGCAGGUCGACUGCAAGGCUGAGAGGGGUGGAUGGGGGAGGUGAGAGAGGAAAAGGCAGGGGCGGGGGAACACCCGAGGUGGAGCGGGCCAACAGAGUCCCCAUGGGAGAGUUGACUAAAAGCCCCGGCUUGAUGCAAGGAACCCACAGUCUUUCUGGUUUGGGGACCAAAUCUUGGGCAUCCCCUACUUCCUUGGUUAAAAAAAUUAAACAUACAGAAACGGUUUAGUGGGCAUUCUGCAGGGUAAAAAGCCCCUGCUGCAUGGCCAUGUUUUUAUAUUUUAUGUUCUUUAGCAAUGUUAGAAACUUCACUGGGAAAAGCACUUUAAAAAGAUAUAGUUGAGGGGAAUGGGACGUGGGGAGUUAUUGUUGAAUGGGUGCAGAGUUUCAAUUUUACAAGAUGAAAGUGCCUGGAGAUGGUUAGCGGCGAUGGCUGUAUAGCAGUGGGAAUGCAUGUCACACCACUGAACAACGUGCUUAAAAAUGGUUACGAUGGAGGCCAGGCACGGUGGCUGACACGUGUAAUCCCAGCACUUUGGGUGGCGGAGGCGGGCUGAUCACUUGAGGUCAGGAGUUUUGAGACCAGUCUGGCUAACAUGGUGAAACCCUGUCUCUACUAAAAAUACAAAAAUUAGCCAGGCAUGGUGGCGGGCACCUGUAAUCCCAGCUACUCGGGAGGCUGAGGCAGGAGAAUCACUUGAAACCCAGAGACGGAGUUUGCAGUGAGCUGAGAUCGCACCACUGAACUCCAGCCUGGGUGACAGAGUGAGACGCUGUCUCAAAAAAAAAAGGUUAAGAUGGUAAAUUUUCUGUUAUGUGUAUUUUACUUACUACAAUUUUUAAAAAAUUGGAAAAAGAAAGAUAUGGUUGAGUCUGACUUGGAUGAAAGUCUACAGGCCUCCUGCUGAUGGUCUCAGCGGCUCCUGGGAAACUACCGUUUGUUUCAGCCAUCUGUAACUUGAUUUGUUGUUCAGAAGUUUGCCAAGACUUCUCCAUGCAAAGCCAGGUGUAAGUUUAACCUGAGCCACGUGGGUCCCCCCACCUUUCCGCCUCCGAUGGAUCUUCUCUCCAAGGGCUCCGGUGCUCAGGCCCUCAUAGCAUGGGAAAUCAGAAGGGAUGUUUGGGUGGGAGGCUUGGCAUGGAGGGUGGACAUUUUGCUACAGAUGGCCUUGCCCUCACGGAAGGCCAUUGUUAUUCCGCGUCUGCCCCCUGGCCGGGUCCAGCCACCUGAGCCUUCCUGAGCUCCCAGCUCUCAGUUGCAGCCAGCGCCCAACGCCUUCCUGCGGCACCUCCACAGACCUCGCCUCUUUGCCCUGACUCCUCUCAUUCUCUGUUUUCCAGACUAUCCCCAAGCCCUGCCUGUGGCUGCCUCCUCCCUCCAUAGCAUCCCUGCUCUGCCAUGGCUCCCCUAUUUGGGACAAGACCUUUGUGUGGGCCUCAAGA
RNAcentral lists this long non-coding RNA (2027 nucleotides) under Homo sapiens (human). RNAcentral describes it as "non-protein coding lnc-TOMM20-7:2". Lineage: Eukaryota; Metazoa; Chordata; Mammalia; Primates; Hominidae. The record is from RNAcentral.